Molecule: long non-coding RNA, 539 nt
Organism: Betta splendens (Siamese fighting fish)
Lineage: Eukaryota; Metazoa; Chordata; Actinopteri; Anabantiformes; Osphronemidae
Exons: 2
Source: RefSeq, a predicted model, not a curated record
GUUUCAAGCAGUUACCCCAGUGAGCCCAGCUGGUGGUGCUGCCAUGCUGCCAUGGAGCCCAGAGACAGAUCAGCAUGGGAGCCGAAGCCUGACAGUUCUGCACUGUUCAAGGAGUAAUCUGACAAAGACAGAACAUCAAGGGAGUGCUGAUGCCAGAGUAGACCAGAGUCUGAUGAGGCAAGCUGGGCGUGUUGAUGGAGACCCCCGGGGUGCUCAGAGGCUGGUUAGACUGACUGCUGCUGCUGCUCAGCCUCUGACUGCUCUGUAGAACAAGAAGAAUCAGGGUUAUUCACUCGCAGUAAACUCACCUGGCAUUCAGUGCAUUCUCUUUGUGCAAAGCUUAGUUUUUUUCCCUGGACUGUUGGCAUAAACACUUACAGCUCUGGUAAAUAGGCUACUGUUUUUACUUCUUCAUUCUGUUGCUACUGUUUUUAUUUCCUGACCUUGUUUUAACGAUUAGGCCGAGUACUCCAACCCAAAACUAUCCUCAUAUAUAUGUACUGUAUAAUGACAAUAAACUCUUCUAUUUCUCAUUCUUA